This 459-nucleotide ribosomal RNA is filed under the name uncultured Treponema sp. RNAcentral describes it as "partial 16S ribosomal RNA". It matches the Rfam family "Bacterial small subunit ribosomal RNA", at positions 341 to 792 of the family's 1533-position model. The record is from RNAcentral. Lineage: Bacteria; Pseudomonadati; Spirochaetota; Spirochaetia; Treponematales; Treponemataceae.
ACGGGAGGCAGCAGCUAAGAAUAUUCCGCAAUGGACGAAAGUCUGACGGAGCGACGCCGCGUGGAUGAUGAAGGCCGGAAGGUUGUAAAAUCCUUUUGUGGUUGAGGAAUAAGGAGUGCAGGGAAUGGUACUCUGGUGACUGUAGACUACGAAUAAGCACCGGCUAAUUACGUGCCAGCAGCCGCGGUAACACGUAAGGUGCAAGCGUUGUUCGGAAUUAUUGGGCGUAAAGGGCAUGUAGGCGGUCCGGCAAGUCUAGAGUGAAAUUACGGAGCUCAACUCCGUAGCUGUUCUGGAAACUGGUGGACUUGAGUCAGUGAGGCGUAACCGGAAUUCCUAGUGUAGGGGUGAAAUCUGUAGAUAUUAGGAAGAACACCGGUGGCGAAGGCAGGUUACGAGCACAUGACUGACGCUGAGGUGCGAAGGUGCGGGGAGCAAACAGGAUUAGAUACCCUGGUA